This 643-nucleotide ribosomal RNA is filed under the name Pleurotus sp. BAB-4073. RNAcentral describes it as "eukaryotic LSU rRNA". The stretch from base 218 to 371 matches the Rfam family "5.8S ribosomal RNA". Lineage: Eukaryota; Fungi; Basidiomycota; Agaricomycetes; Agaricales; Pleurotaceae. The record is from RNAcentral.
GAGUUGUUGCUGGCCUCUAGGGGCAUGUGCACGCUUCACUAGUCUUUCAACCACCUGUGAACUUUUGAUAGAUCUGUGAAGUCGUCUCUCAAGUCGUCAGACUUGGUUGCUGGGAUUUAAACGUCUCGGUGUGACUACGCAGUCUAUUUACUUACACACCCCAAAUGUAUGUCUACGAAUGUCAUUUAAUGGGCCUUGUGCCUUUAAACCAUAAUACAACUUUCAACAACGGAUCUCUUGGCUCUCGCAUCGAUGAAGAACGCAGCGAAAUGCGAUAAGUAAUGUGAAUUGCAGAAUUCAGUGAAUCAUCGAAUCUUUGAACGCACCUUGCGCCCCUUGGUAUUCCGAGGGGCAUGCCUGUUUGAGUGUCAUUAAAUUCUCAAACUCACUUUGGUUUCUUUCCAAUUGUGAUGUUUGGAUUGUUGGGGGCUGCUGGCCUUGACAGGUCGGCUCCUCUUAAAUGCAUUAGCAGGACUUCUCAUUGCCUCUGCGCAUGAUGUGAUAAUUAUCACUCAUCAAUAGCACGCAUGAAUAGAGUCCAGCUCUCUAAUCGUCCGCAAGGACAAUUUGACAAUUUGACCUCAAAUCAGGUAGGACUACCCGCUGAACUUAGCAUAUCAAUAAGCGGAGGAAAAGAAACUAA